CUUAUCCGUUUGUCAUCCCCUUAUGACAUAGUUUGUACAUUUCAAUUGUCAGUAGAAACCACAUUUGUUUAAGCAAGUCAGACAUAUCAGCUAUGUUUUCUUAAAAGGCAGUAAAUUAAUCUGAAUUAGCUGUUUUUCUGCAAGACAAGGCUUCGCUGAUAGCCAGGUGUAGCAGUGGUCAUAUUUUCCAAUCUCCCAAAAUAAAUGCAAUCCCUGACGAGACUAGGCCACUGUAACGGUCUUGGGACGACAGACGCUGGGAGAUGGGAAGAAAGUACAGGGUAAGGAUUUAAUAAUAAAUAGACAUGAAACAAAGCAAAAACAGCGUCUGGACAAAAGAAACAAAACAGCAUCAAUGCAGGGACGGGGAAGAAACUGAGGAAGUGAAAGAUACAGGGGAGGCAAUCUAUGACAUCAUGGAGUCCAGGUGAGUCCGGGAAAGCGCUAGCACGCUUAACGGUGGUGACAGAUGUGUGUAAUGAUGAGCAGCCUGGCGGCCUUUGAGCGCCAGAGAGCGGGAGCGGGAGUGGACGUGACAACCACAGAUCGAACAAUUAGCCAGAUAUUUCACCGAAUGUAUAAAUGUGAAGUAUCCGGUUGCCAUUUCCACUCACUACCAAAUAUGGUGAUUGAUGAGCGGAAUCCCAGUGGCUGGCGGUGGGAGAAGAUGGAGCGAGAUGGAUUUUGGCCGACAUUCUGAACAUUUUCUCAUCGAUGAAACAUUUGAUCUCAAUACAGUUGUCUGUUUCCAAAACUAGAGUCUAGAACACACAGAGUGGACUGCGUUUUGUAGACUUUCCCCUAUGCCAAAGUUUCCUUGCUUUUUCUGCCCACUAUGAUUCAUUUGCUCCAAUUGGAAAUGACAUUCAAUGGUCUAUCUUGGUUUAGUUGUAAAAAUAUUUGACUCUCCUCCAGCUUGUCUUGUGUUGUGAAACGCUCCCUAUGCUCUCCGUCCAGUACCGGAACGAGAUUGCAUGAAGAUGACCUACAGCGUAAUGAAAUACGGCUUAAUGAAAUAAAUCAAGAUGUAAACGGG
This 1036-nucleotide long non-coding RNA is filed under the name Salmo salar (Atlantic salmon). RNAcentral's name for it is "lncRNA (ENSSSAG00000087063.1)". The record is from RNAcentral. Lineage: Eukaryota; Metazoa; Chordata; Actinopteri; Salmoniformes; Salmonidae.